AAAAUACGGGAGGCAGCAGUGGGGAAUUUUGGACAAUGGGCGCAAGCCUGAUCCAGCCAUUCCGCGUGCAGGAUGAAGUAUUUCGGUACGUAAAGCUCUAUCAGCAGGGAAGAAAGAAGACGGUACCUGACUAAGAAGCCCCGGCUAACUACGUGCCAGCAGCCGCGGUAAUUUUU
Molecule: ribosomal RNA, 176 nt
Filed under: uncultured bacterium
Lineage: Bacteria
Description: partial 16S ribosomal RNA
Rfam family: Bacterial small subunit ribosomal RNA
Source: RNAcentral